RNAcentral lists this long non-coding RNA (828 nucleotides) under Vulpes vulpes (red fox). Its description in RNAcentral is "lncRNA (ENSVVUG00000026943.1)". Lineage: Eukaryota; Metazoa; Chordata; Mammalia; Carnivora; Canidae. The record is from RNAcentral.
AUGCCUCUGGAUUGUACCAGAAGGGAGACAGGGACCACUGAUAAGACACGGUAUAUGGUAUCAGUCAGACUUGGCUUCUCUCUCUCCUGCUUCAUCGGAGGCUGGACUCUCCUCGUUCUUGGUUUCUCCGUUUUCUGCAGGUACACACACUCCAGAUCGGUUCUAGGAAGAGUGGGUCACUUCCUCCACUUGUUCCUUUUUAUCUGUUGUACUGUGCAGCACAGUGGGGAUUCACAUCUGCCUCCCAGCUUCACCGUGAGCUGUCAACGGCAGGGAUUGGAACCUGAUUUAUCGCCAUCCCUGGUGCCAGUGCAAGGCUGGUGCAUGGCCAGCCCAGGAAGUGCCUGAGGGGAAAGAGACAAGACUGCUCCUCUCUGGGCAAAGAGAAGACAUAAGAAAGGAAGGUUCUCCCUGCUUCUGCAGCCUCUCUCAGACUGAACCUACUCAGUGAGUGUCAUUGAUGGCUGGCUGUAGUCUCAGACCACCCGGCAUCUUCCCUUCUUCCCAUCUGAGGACCCUCCCUUCAGCAAUCAUUCCAGGCGGUUCCAGGGCAAACCCCUGUCCUCAGCUCCCAGCACUGGUCCCCCUGACCGGGGAAGAGAGCUCCUUUCUCUCCCCACCUGUCUGGUUCACUGUCUAAACCUGGCAACCAGGCCGGGCACCUGCCUGAGCCCCAAGACUACCUGGACGUGGGUGAAUGGAGGACAGCACCACAAGGAUGCUGUUGGAGCUCCUGGAUCUAUUUUUUGGAAUAGAAGAUUUCCUUUCUUUUCUUGCUUAAGUUGAUGUCUUAGCUCAGGUGCCAUAAUAAAAUAACCAGGUGAUUCA